AUGGUGGUGCGGGUCUUCAGGUAUGGGUCCCUGAUCUGGAACCCCGGCUUCGAUUUCAACGAGAAGAUCCUGAGAUUCAUCAAGGGCUACAAGCGAACGUUUAAUCUCGCUUGCAUUGACCAUAGAGGCACACCACAGAAUCCAUCCAGGACCUGCACCCCUGAAUGCGAAGAUGAAGAAAUAUGCGUAAGUUGA
RNAcentral lists this ribosomal RNA (195 nucleotides) under Triticum aestivum (bread wheat). Its description in RNAcentral is "partial small subunit ribosomal RNA". The record is from RNAcentral. Lineage: Eukaryota; Viridiplantae; Streptophyta; Magnoliopsida; Poales; Poaceae.